RNAcentral lists this unclassified non-coding RNA (180 nucleotides) under Borreliella burgdorferi (Lyme disease spirochete). Its description in RNAcentral is "partial 5S-23S ribosomal RNA intergenic spacer region". The record is from RNAcentral. Lineage: Bacteria; Pseudomonadati; Spirochaetota; Spirochaetia; Spirochaetales; Borreliaceae.
UUUUUAUUUUUGUACUUUAAGUCUUGAUUUCAUUUUUAUGUUUUUUAAAUGUUAGCGUCUUUGAAUGUGUUAUUUUAAUAACAUGAAAAAUAAAAUAUAUAUUGACAUGGAUUAAACAAAGAUAUAUAUUAGUUUAUGUUGCAUAAACAAAUUGGCAAAAUAGAGAUGGAAGAUAAAAAU